RNAcentral lists this long non-coding RNA (1203 nucleotides) under Daphnia pulex (common water flea). Its description in RNAcentral is "uncharacterized LOC124196054, transcript variant X2". Lineage: Eukaryota; Metazoa; Arthropoda; Branchiopoda; Diplostraca; Daphniidae. The record is from RNAcentral.
AUCUCGUCUCAGAUGCUGAAGGCUAAAGUGGAGUCUAUAAGGUAAAAGUUGUUUUUAUUCGGUUGCUGAAGGCAAUUUUAUGUAAAUAGCUCGUCGUUAUAGCCUUCUAAGCAUACGCGAUCUUGGAAUAUCACCAUCGCCAUAUAUAUCUUCGGGACUUUUGCUUCUCAACCUAUUCGGCCAGUGAUUUUGAUCCUAACCCGUAGUUGUUGUGAGUCAAUCACUGUUGAAAUACAAGUGGCCCAUGACUGACGUGGCCUCAAAGAACUAAAAGGUGCCCUGAAAACUUCAUUCUUUCGUCACAUCUUACACGGAUUGUGCCUAGGUUGCUUUGUUACAUCACCGUUUGUACAACGAGUAAGGAUUUCAACAAUUUUGACGGUCUGUAUGCAAGAUCAUAUUUCAGAUUAUAAUGAAUUAAAAAACUUGAAAGAGCUGUCUUCAUCUGUAUUGGCAAUUAAACCAUUCAACAACUUGUAUCAAAUGGAACUUUAAAUCAAUGGACAUGUCAACGAUCCCAUAUAGACUUUAAUGACAAUAACGCACAUCUAACUCACAAUUUGAAUCGAUCUGCUUAUUAUUCCGAUACAAGUUUCAACAUAACCUGAGUAAACGUUGGACAUUAAAACAGAUUAUUACCAUGUCGAAAGCCGUGUCUGCCAACUCCAAAGGAAAAUCCACAGAUUCACGCCCACAGUGGAAUCCCUCCGUCGCCGUAGUUAGUCGAAAUUCACAGUUGCAGAGCCUUCCAGGAAAGAAAAGACAGUACGAGAACAUUAAAAGUCGAAUACGUUCUGGAAUUAAAAACGGGAAUUCCGAUGCUUCGCUUGACGGAUCGACUAGCUUCCGGCAACGCAAUGAUUCUUCUGCCGUGGCAGCUUGUCUUUACCCAAACGGUCAUCAGUCUCCGUGGCCAAACGAUGCUAAUGCCACGGCAAGUGGUCCGACCGAUGAAGUACCAGAAGCUUCAAUCAGCCCUUCGCGUUGCGUUUGAUUAUAUUAUGUGAAUAAGCCAGAAAAGAAAUGUGAGCAUUUGUACGCUCAGGUUUAAAAUUUUAAAAUUGAAAUGGAGGUGUAGGUAUAUCUUAUUCCACGCUUAAACACAAAGUGUUUCGACCCUAACAAUCGAUCUUUAUUUCUCGGAAUAAUGAAUCUUAUUUAUUUUGUACUUAGAUAAACUUAAAUAAACGCUCAACAAUGAAA